GCCUGAGUGGCUCAGUCAGUUAAGCAUCUGCCUUCAGCUCAGGUCAUGAUCCCAGGGUCCUGGGAUCAAACCCCACCUCAGGCU
RNAcentral lists this transfer RNA (84 nucleotides) under Ailuropoda melanoleuca (giant panda). It matches the Rfam family "tRNA". Rfam says of the family: Transfer RNA (tRNA) molecules are approximately 80 nucleotides in length. Their secondary structure includes four short double-helical elements and three loops (D, anti-codon, and T loops). The record is from Rfam by way of RNAcentral. Lineage: Eukaryota; Metazoa; Chordata; Mammalia; Carnivora; Ursidae.